This is a non-coding RNA of Pelobates cultripes (western spadefoot toad), 201 nucleotides long. The record is from the annotation of a GenBank genome assembly. NCBI's taxonomy places the organism in Eukaryota, Metazoa, Chordata, Amphibia, Anura, Pelobatidae.
CCCCAUCCUAGAUAAUACAAAAUCCUAUAGCCCCACCCAAGAUAAUACAGUACCCUAUAUCCUCAAUCCCAGAUAAUACAGCACCCUGUAGCCCCCCACCCCUGAUAAUACAGCACAAUAUAUCCCCAACACCACAGAUAAUACAGAACCCUAUAUGCCCCAUGUACGUAUGUAUGUACUACUUGUACUAAAUAAAUAGCU